GGGACUUACUACCGAAAGGCUCGGUAAUGCCGGAUGAUGUCUCCGGACCAAAGAUUUAUUGCCCGGGGAUGGAUCUGCGUCCUAUUAGCUUGUUGGUGAGGUAACGGCUCACCAAGGCAAAGAUGGGUAGCGGGCGUGAGAGCGUGGCCCGCCUCACUGGGACUGAGACACUGCCCAGACACCUACGGGUGGCUGCAGUCGAGAAUCUUCCGCAAUGGGCGAAAGCCUGACGGAGCGACGCCGCGUGCGGGAUGAAGGCCUUCGGGUUGUAAACCGCUGUCAGUGGGGAGCAAAUCCAGGAAACUGGUUGAGCGAUCCGCAGAGGAAGCGCAGGCUAAGUUCGUGCCAGCAGCCGCGGUAACACGAACUGCGCGAACGUUAUUCGGAAUCAUUGGGCUUAAAGAGUUCGUAGGCGGCUUGAUAAGUCGGGUGUGAAAUCCCUCGGCCCAACCGAGGAACUGCGCCCGAUACUGUUAGGCUUGAGGGAGACAGAGGUGAGCGGAACUGAUGGUGGAGCGGUGAAAUGCGUUGAUAUCAUCAGGAACACCGGUGGCGAAAGCGGCUCAC
This 567-nucleotide ribosomal RNA is filed under the name uncultured Planctomycetota bacterium. RNAcentral describes it as "bacterial SSU rRNA". It matches the Rfam family "Bacterial small subunit ribosomal RNA", at positions 140 to 729 of the family's 1533-position model. The record is from RNAcentral. Lineage: Bacteria; Pseudomonadati; Planctomycetota.